This 223-nucleotide unclassified non-coding RNA is filed under the name plant metagenome. RNAcentral describes it as "partial contains small subunit ribosomal RNA, internal transcribed spacer 1, and 5.8S ribosomal RNA". The record is from RNAcentral.
UCUCCGUUGGCGAACCAGCGGAGGGAUCAUUACCGAGUUAUCAACUCCCAAACCCCUGUGAACAUACCCAACGUUGCUUCGGCGGGACCGCCCCGGCGCCCUCGGCGUCCCGGAACCAGGCGCCCGCCGGAGGACCCAAACUCUUGUUUAAACCAUAGUGGCAUAUUCUGAGUCUCACAAGAAAAAUGAAUCAAAACUUUCAACAACGGAUCUCUUGGCUCUG